RNAcentral lists this ribosomal RNA (498 nucleotides) under uncultured bacterium. RNAcentral describes it as "bacterial SSU rRNA". It matches the Rfam family "Bacterial small subunit ribosomal RNA", at positions 15 to 507 of the family's 1533-position model. The record is from RNAcentral.
GAUCAUGGCUCAGAUUGAACGCUGGCGGCAUGCCUUACACAUGCAAGUCGAACGGCAGCGGGGCCUUCGGGGUGCCGGCGAGUGGCGAACGGGUGAGUAAUGCAUCGGAACGUGCCAUUGAGUGGGGGAUAACGUAGCGAAAGUUACGCUAAUACCGCAUAUUCUGUGAGCAGGAAAGCAGGGGACCGCAAGGCCUUGCGCUCUUUGAGCGGCCGAUGUCAGAUUAGCUAGUUGGUGAGGUAAGGGCUUACCAAGGCGACGAUCUGUAGCGGGGUCUGAGAGGAUGAUCCGCCACACUGGAACUGAGACACGGUCCAGACUCCUACGGGAGGCAGCAGUGGGGAAUUUUGGACAAUGGGCGCAAGCCUGAUCCAGCCAUGCCGCGUGAGUGAAGAAGGCCUUCGGGUUGUAAAGCUCUUUCGGCCGGGAAGAAAUCGCAUGGGUUAAUACCCUGUGUGGAUGACGGUACCGGAAUAAGAAGCACCGGCUAACUACGUG